UACGGAGGAUGCGAGCGUUAUCCGGAUUUAUUGGGUUUAAAGGGUGCGCAGGCGGCACGGCAAGCCGGCGGUCAAAUCGCGGGGCUCAACCCCGCCCAGCCGUCGGAACUGCCGGGCUAGAGUGGGCGAGAAGUGCGCGGAAUGCGUGGUGUAGCGGUGGAAUGCGUAGAUAUUAGGAGGAACAUCAGUGGCGAAGGCGACUUUCUGGACUGUAACUGACGCUGAGGCACGAAAGUGUGGGGAGCAAACAGG
RNAcentral lists this ribosomal RNA (252 nucleotides) under uncultured bacterium. RNAcentral's name for it is "partial 16S ribosomal RNA". It matches the Rfam family "Bacterial small subunit ribosomal RNA", at positions 524 to 776 of the family's 1533-position model. The record is from RNAcentral.